This 635-nucleotide non-coding RNA is filed under the name Pongo abelii (Sumatran orangutan). The record is from RNAcentral. Lineage: Eukaryota; Metazoa; Chordata; Mammalia; Primates; Hominidae.
CUCUGUGACUGGCUUGCUUGAUAGUUAGGGUCUGAUUGCUGCCUGAGACACCAUAUCGGUACUCCUCAGAGUUGAUGCAUAGUGUUCAUAUGAGGAGAGACUUUCCCUUGUCUCCGUCAUCUGUGAUUUCACUUCCCUGACAGAAGACGAAGCUUCCAUCUCAGAUGUUUUCUUAAAUGAUGAAACAGCAUACGCCUCUGUUCUUGUCAGCUCAGGGAAAACAGAUCUGGGGACCUCUUCAUCUCUGCGUCGGGAAGCAUAGGUGGUAUAAUCCCCUCCUGUUACGUCCAGCGUUGCAUAGUCAGAAGCUUCGCCCUUGUAGUUGGUGCACACAGCACGGUGAUCACAGGAUCUGGUUUGCCACUGAAAGGAAUCUUGAUGCUGACCACUUCACCUCGGAGAGCAUGAACUGCUCCCAUGCCUUCAAGAGUUUUAGAAUUUUAUGCAAAGAUGGAACUUUACCAUAGGAAGAUAUAGAAAUCGGGUUGUACUCACCAAAUGGACUCUUAAUGAUCACAACUGAGGACACUUCUAGAGGGUCACUGAUGCCGAAAAUGUUCUGAGCUGAAACCCGGAAGUAAUAGCCAGCAUUUUCUGUGAGGUUCACAAUUCUACAGGUUGUCACUGAGAUGGCU